GGGAACGAUCAGGGUUGGCGAUGAGUUGGUGCAAACCUGAUCCCAGAAGGGGCAGGCUGAUGCGUCUUGUGGGGCUGCUGGCCUUUGAUCAACACAGACCGAGGGUUGCUGCCCCGGGCACGGAUCUCAGUCAGCCCCACCAUCUGGGCACUGCGGUCUGUGCCUCGGGCUGGAGGCAGGUGAGUGAUAACCACGUACACGGGUUAACAGCCUUCCUUCCAUCAGAAAUGACACCAGUGACUAAAAGGAACUAGGCAGAAAUCAACACUAAGUCAAAUAUUUGAAGGAAGCUGAUAAGUUCGUCCUUUGAGGGCCACAGGCCGUGGGUGGAGAAGACUGAGCAGGGGCGGCAUCCUCAGCCUGCUGGACGCCAGGGGAGGUCACCUCUGUCCAUACUCUUCAGCCAUCUGCCAGGAAUAGAGUCGAAAGCGGGCUGAACUCCUAAUAUCGCCGUAUUACCAAGGGGAAAGGUUGGCUUUUGGAUGUUGAAAGAAUAUGGCAAUUUGACACAAACACUCUAAUUUGGUUGGUUUACAAAAGGGCCGUGUGAUGGAAAUGGAAUAUGAGGAGCUCAGGGGACACACUGCAGCCACGUUAAGCAUGAAUUAUGGAUAAGGGAACGGAGUAAGAUGACAGCAGCUUCCAGCUCUGGCCAAAUACCCGCAUAGGGAACGAAUUAUUGCUAGACUUUAACAAAACAAUGCUGUUGUUUUCUGAGCCAAGGGACUGGAAAGUUCUUUUUAAGCUUUGCUAAUGGGAGACAGGUCAUCUGUGGAUCUGAUCCUUGUCAUGGAGCAGUUGAACCUGUCCCCACCUGCCUGCAGUUAACGAGGCUGCGGCUGAACUCUGCUGUGCUGGAAACGGCGCCGUGUGACUUAAGUAGGCUGAUGGAGAGUUAAAAAUACAAGUUGCCUUGGCAAGGCUUUUGCAAACACCUGCCUUGCAGGCUGUCCUCCCACACAGCGACCUUGGGAAAGCCAGGAAGAGCUGAGUAGGGGGAGCACCGCACUUCCCGGGGCACUGGCGGCGUCUCUGUCCUCUUGCAGAAUUUGCACAUGUGGCAAUCAGCAGGGGCUUGGUGGUGGACCAGCCUGGUCCUAGGAGGACUCACGACUCUGAGGAGGACGUGGUGGCUGCUCAGCCCUCUAAUCUGCUUGUUGACCAAGUCAGCAAGGGACUGGGUUCUAGUCUCCCAGAGGAAGGGCCGGUGCCCCAAGAGUGGCUCUGAUGGGGUGGCAGUGGUCAAGGGGCCCGCUGAGGAGGUAGCUGCCACGUCUAUCUUAGAGAAACGAAAAGGCAGCGUUUGUCCUAACAUUGGGCGAGGGA
This 1326-nucleotide long non-coding RNA is filed under the name Homo sapiens (human). RNAcentral's name for it is "HSALNT0195654". The record is from RNAcentral. Lineage: Eukaryota; Metazoa; Chordata; Mammalia; Primates; Hominidae.